This 105-nucleotide transfer RNA is filed under the name Pseudozyma flocculosa. Its description in RNAcentral is "Anthracocystis flocculosa transfer RNA-Ala(AGC)". It matches the Rfam family "tRNA". Rfam says of the family: Transfer RNA (tRNA) molecules are approximately 80 nucleotides in length. Their secondary structure includes four short double-helical elements and three loops (D, anti-codon, and T loops). The record is from RNAcentral. Lineage: Eukaryota; Fungi; Basidiomycota; Ustilaginomycetes; Ustilaginales; Ustilaginaceae.
GGGGGUUUAGCUCAGUUGGCAGAGCGUUCGCUUAGCACAGCACAGCUUUCCCAAGCUGUUCAAGUGAUCUGCGAAAGGUCGCGUGUUCGACUCAUGCAGUCUCCA